Molecule: ribosomal RNA, 257 nt
Filed under: uncultured bacterium
Lineage: Bacteria
Description: partial 16S ribosomal RNA
Rfam family: Bacterial small subunit ribosomal RNA
Source: RNAcentral
UACGGGGGGAGCAAGCGUUGUUCGGAUUACUGGGCGUAAAGGGCGGCGUAGGCGGCCUUCUAAGUCGAACGUGAAAUCCCUGGGACUCAACCCAGGAACUGCGUCCGAUACUGGGAGGCUUGAAUCCGGGAGAGGGAUGCGGAAUUCCAGGUGUAGCGGUGAAAUGACGUAGAUAUCUGGAGGAACACCGGUGGCGAAGGCGGCAUCCUGGACCGGUAUUGACGCUGAGGCGCGAAAGCCAGGGGAGCAAAGCGGGG